Molecule: ribosomal RNA, 307 nt
Filed under: uncultured eukaryote
Lineage: Eukaryota
Description: partial 18S ribosomal RNA
Rfam family: Eukaryotic small subunit ribosomal RNA
Source: RNAcentral
CCCUUAGACGUUCUGGGCCGCACGCGCGCUACACUGACGAAGGCAACGAGCUUUCCUUUACCGAAAGGUACGGGUAAUCUUUUGAAACUUCGUCGUGCUGGGGAUAGAUCCUUGCAAUUUUUGAUCUUAAACGAGGAAUGCCUAGUAAGCGCAAGUCAUCAACUUGCGUUGAUUACGUCCCUGCCCUUUGUACACACCGCCCGUCGCUACUACCGAUUGAAUGGUUUAGUGAGGCCUUCGGAUCCGCGACUCGUUUGUGGAGAAGCUGGACAAACUCAGUCAUUUAGAGGAAGUAAAAGUCGUAACA